RNAcentral lists this non-coding RNA (24 nucleotides) under Arabidopsis thaliana (thale cress). Lineage: Eukaryota; Viridiplantae; Streptophyta; Magnoliopsida; Brassicales; Brassicaceae. The record is from RNAcentral.
CUCGAAAUUAGGGCUUUGGUUAGC